RNAcentral lists this ribosomal RNA (440 nucleotides) under uncultured bacterium. Its description in RNAcentral is "partial 16S ribosomal RNA". It matches the Rfam family "Bacterial small subunit ribosomal RNA", at positions 338 to 795 of the family's 1533-position model. The record is from RNAcentral.
CCUACGGGUGGCAGCAGUGGGGAAUAUUGCACAAUGGGCGAAACCCUGAUGCAGCGACGCCGCGUGGGUGAAGAAGGAAUUCGUUAUGUAAAGCUCUAUUAGCAGGGAAGAAAAUGCCGGUACUUGAGUAAGAAGCCCCGGCCAACUACGUGCCAGCAGCCGCGGUAAUACGAAGGGGGCAAGCGUUAUCCGGAUUUACUGGGUGUAAAGGGAGCGUAGACGGCAGUGCAAGACUGGAGUGAAAGGCGGGGGCUCAACCCGCGGACUGCACCGGAGACUGUACGGCUGGAGUGCAGGAGAGGUGAGUGGAAUUCCAAGUGUAGCGGUGAAAUGCGUAGAUAUUAGGAAGAACACCAGUGGCGAAGGCGGCUUACUGGACUGUAACUGACGUUGAGGCUCGAAAGCGUGGGGAGCAAACAGGAUUAGAUACCCGGGUAGUC